This 271-nucleotide long non-coding RNA is filed under the name Mytilus galloprovincialis (Mediterranean mussel). The record is from RNAcentral. Lineage: Eukaryota; Metazoa; Mollusca; Bivalvia; Mytilida; Mytilidae.
CAGUCUGCACCAAAAACUUUUUCAACUUCAAGUCCGAAGACCAAUAUUCUGACAUUUUUCUUAUUGGGCCAAACAAAGUUUUGCAAAAGCUUACUAGUCCGAAUGAAAUUUUACUAGUCUGGGGCAUCGGACUAGUGGCUAACCGUGCAGACUGUCAUCCUGGUUAAUAAUAUGUUAAUCUAGAUUUUAUCGUUUUCCAUUCAGUGGGGCGAGUUUUCAGGAGUAAUAUUAACGGGAUUUAACACAUUUCACAAGUGGGGCGAUUUUUUAA